UGACAGUCUGCCUGUGGUUCUAUUAUUCUAACCAUAGUAUGUAUCACCCCAGGCUUGGGUAGAACAUAAAUCUAUUAACUGGAAGUUGGACUCAUCUGUAUCCCAUUACCUUGGACUUUCAGCAAUGUCUUUGGGUGUUAAAAGGCUCUGCUGCCUUUGCUUUCACUACCGGCUUUGCAUGCGAGAUCUUCUCUCACUGUCAGUCCACAGUACUCAGCACUGGACACACUACUGAAUGAUCUACUCAGCCUCUCUUAGUUUCUUAGCUCAAAGAAGGAAAGGAGAAAAAAAAUGUCUUUUUGAUCUACUUGCUUCCAUGAGAAAUCACAGUGAGUGUAUCCUUUUACCUACAGCAGGAACCCACAGGACUGUCUUUCCCAUAACCAGAAGAAGGUCCCAUCAACUAUUUCUCGAAGUAUGGAGGGGCCUAAGGAGAUGAAGAGGUGAAUUUGGUGUUUCCCAAACUGAGUAACAUACUCAAGGACAAUGCCCCCCCCCGGGGCAAAACUUAAAGAGGUUGGCCUCCAGAACAGCAGUAGGCAGGUAGGUGAUACAGUGCAUAGACUGCUGAGCCCAAAGUCAAGAACACCUGAGUUCAAAUCCAACCACUGACACUUAUUAGUUGUGUGUGUGUGACCCUAGAUAAGUCACUUAACCUUUGUCUGCUACAGGUUCUGCAUCUGUAAAAAGGGGAUGACCACCCGCCCAGGGUUGUUGUGUGGAUCAAAUGUGAUGGAGCAUUUUUACAAACCUUAAAGCACUAUAGAAACGGAAAGGGUUUUUGUUUUUUUUGUUUUGCUUUUUGGUGAUGUAAUCAGGGUUAAGUGGCUUGCCCAGGGUCACACAGCUAGUAAGUGUCAA
RNAcentral lists this long non-coding RNA (861 nucleotides) under Phascolarctos cinereus (koala). RNAcentral's name for it is "lncRNA (ENSPCIG00000017849.2)". Lineage: Eukaryota; Metazoa; Chordata; Mammalia; Diprotodontia; Phascolarctidae. The record is from RNAcentral.